AGAGUUUGAUCCUGGCUCAGGAUGAACGCUGGCGGUAUGCCUAACACAUGCAAGUCGUACGAGGGUUUUUAACUCUAGUGGCGGACGGGUGAGUAACACGUGAGAAUUUGCCUUUAGGAGGGGGAUAACAAUCGGAAACGAAUGCUAAUACCCCAUAUGCUUUCGAGUGAAACGGAUUUAUCCGCCUAAAGAGAAGCUCGCGGCUGAUUAGCUUGUUGGUAAGGUAAGAGCUUACCAAGGCGACGAUCAGUAUCUGGUUUGAGAGGACGAUCAGACACACUGGAACUGAGACACGGUCCAGACUCCUACGGGAGGCAGCAGUGGGGAAUUUUCCGCAAUGGGCGAAAGCCUGACGGAGCAAUACCGCGUGAGGGAAGACUGCCUAUGGGUUGUAAACCUCUUUUUUCAGGGAGGAAUAAAAUGACGUGUACCUGAAGAAUAAGCAUCGGCUAACUCCGUGCCAGCAGCCGCGGUAAGACGGAGGAUGCAAGUGUUAUCCGGAAUCACUGGGCGUAAAGCGUCUGUAGGUGGCUUAAUAAGUCAACUGUUAAAUCUUGAGGCUCAACUUCAAAAUCGCAGUCGAAACUAUUAGACUAGAGUAUAGUAGAGGUAAAGGGAAUUUCCAGUGGAGCGGUGAAAUGCGUAGAUAUUGGAAAGAACACCGAUGGCGAAAGCACUUUACUGGGCUAUUACUAACACUCAGAGACGAAAGCUAGGGUAGCAAAUGGGAUUAGAUACCCCAGUAGUCCUAGCCGUAAACUAUGGAUACUAGAUGUUGAACAGAUCGACCUGUGCAGUAUCAAAGCUAACGCGUUAAGUAUCCCGCCUGGGGAGUAUGCUCGCAAGAGUGAAACUCAAAGGAAUUGACGG
Molecule: ribosomal RNA, 870 nt
Filed under: uncultured bacterium
Lineage: Bacteria
Description: bacterial SSU rRNA
Rfam family: Bacterial small subunit ribosomal RNA
Source: RNAcentral